GACGAACGCUGGCGGCGUGCUUAACACAUGCAAGUCGAACGGAAAGGCCCUGCUUUUGUGGGGUGCUCGAGUGGCGAACGGGUGAGUAACACGUGAGUAACCUGCCCUUGACUUUGGGAUAACUUCAGGAAACUGGGGCUAAUACCGUAUAGGAGCUCCUGCUGCAUGGUGGGGGUUGGAAAGUUUCGGCGGUUGGGGAUGGACUCGCGGCUUAUCAGCUUGCUGGUGGGGUAGUGGCUUACCAAGGCUUUGACGGGUAGCCGGCCUGAGAGGGUGACCGGCCACCUUGGGACUGAGAUACGGCCCAGACUCCUACGGGAGGCAGCAGUGGGGAAUAUUGCACAAUGGGCGGAAGCCUGAUGCAGCAACGCCGCGUGCGGGAUGACGGCCUUCGGGUUGUAAACCGCUUUCGCCUGUGACGAAGCGUGAGUGACGGUAAUGGGUAAAGAAGCACCGGCUAACUACGUG
This 468-nucleotide ribosomal RNA is filed under the name uncultured bacterium. RNAcentral describes it as "partial 16S ribosomal RNA". It matches the Rfam family "Bacterial small subunit ribosomal RNA", at positions 28 to 507 of the family's 1533-position model. The record is from RNAcentral.